UACAGAGGUCUCAAGCGUUGUUCGGAUUCAUUGGGCGUAAAGGGUGCGUAGGCGGCGCGGUAAGUCGGGUGUGAAAUCUCGGAGCUUAACUCCGAAACUGCAUUCGAUACUGCCGUGCUUGAGGACUGGAGAGGAGACUGGAAUUUACGGUGUAGCGGUGAAAUGCGUAGAUAUCAUCUGGAACGCCAAUGGUGAAAACAGCUCGCUGGGGGUGUGCAGACGCUGAGACACGAAAGCCAGGGGAGCGAACGGG
This 253-nucleotide ribosomal RNA is filed under the name uncultured bacterium. Its description in RNAcentral is "partial 16S ribosomal RNA". It matches the Rfam family "Bacterial small subunit ribosomal RNA", at positions 524 to 776 of the family's 1533-position model. The record is from RNAcentral.